AUGGGGUAUGCAGAGACUGUAGGUGGGUCGGGCAGCCCUGUUCGUGUUGACUCUGAAGAUUCAUCUGCGCCAAAAUGCAAGUGCAUCAGCCUUAAUAGCGAUGGCUUUGAUGUGAAGCAAGAGAUCUUUGUCCCGUCUAAGUUGUCGUCGUCUGAGCGGCGCUACCUUCGAAAGAGAUUCCGGGCAGAAUAA
This 192-nucleotide ribosomal RNA is filed under the name Triticum aestivum (bread wheat). RNAcentral's name for it is "partial small subunit ribosomal RNA". The record is from RNAcentral. Lineage: Eukaryota; Viridiplantae; Streptophyta; Magnoliopsida; Poales; Poaceae.